This is a long non-coding RNA of Cyprinus carpio (common carp), 1431 nucleotides long. The record is from Ensembl. NCBI's taxonomy places the organism in Eukaryota, Metazoa, Chordata, Actinopteri, Cypriniformes, Cyprinidae.
AUGCUACAGGUGCUUUUAAACAGAACUGAUGUUUUUGAGAAAGUUCUUGCUCCUUUUGAAAAUGCAAAUGGGAUCAACUCUUACAAAGACAGCACUAACUAUCGUGAGAAUGAUUUUUUGGUGGCAGGGACAUUUAGGAUUUUGCUUACCAUGUACACUGAUGAAUUUGAGAUUGCUAAUCCUCUUGGCACUUCAAAAAAGAAACACAAGAUGUUCGGCGUCUAUUGGGUUCUUGCUAAUCUUCCAUCUAAACACCGGUCAUCUCUUCAGGCAAUUCAGCUGGCACUUUUAUGCAAGGCUAGUGAAGUAAAACAAUAUGGAUAUGAGAAAGUCCUUCACCCUCUUGUACAAGACCUCAAAACUCUGGAGACACAUGGUGUCUUUUUGGAGCAAUUAGGGGAAUGUGUUAAGGGAACUGUUCUCAAUGUAUCUGCUGACAAUCUUGGUGCUCAUUCCUUGGCAGGAUUUCAAGAGAGCUUCAUCGUGGAACACCCUUGCCGCUUUUGCAUGGUGAAAAAGAGUGAAAUUCAACAGAAAGACGUACUGUCAGGAAGAUUUGAACCCAGGACAAAGGUGAAUCAUGACAGGCAAGUUGAGGAAGUUUUAAAAGACCAAAAUUUGGUAAAACAGUAUGGUGUAAAAGGCAGGUGUGUUUUAAAUGAGCUUGAUCAUUUUCACUCUGUCAGUGGCUUUCCACCUGACAUCAUGCAUGAUCUCUUGGAGGGUGUAAUACCAAUUGAAAUGGCACUGUGCCUCAAUGAUUUAAUCAACAAAAAGUACAUCACCCUUGAGUAUGUGAACAGAACAAUCAAACAAUUUCCAUACAAAUUCAUAGACAAGACCGAUCAACCUCAGGUCAUUCCAACUACAUUUGCCUCAAGAGGCACGAUUGGGGGCAACGGCCAUGAAAAUUGGGCACUUUUAAGACUUCUCCCACUAAUGAUUGGCUUCGAUAUCCCAGAAAAUGAUGCAACAUGGGAGAUUUUAAUGCUUUUGAAAGACAUUCUAGAACUGGCGACAUCCUUCAGAUUUACUGAUGAUACUAUUGAUUUUCUUGGGGCUAAAAUUUCAGAGCACAGAGGUUUGCUUUUAAAAGUAUNUGUUACCCAAAGCACUGUCCUUGUCACAUCUAAAGUGUGCAUUGAUGGGAUCAACUACAGUCCUGAUAUGGUUCUGUCUGCUGGUGCAACUUCAUGUCUGCCUGAUUUUAGGCAAAUUGUAAAAAUUGUCAUCAUCAACACUGAAAUUUUGUUUGUAUGCAAACAACAGACAGCGUGGUACAUUGAGCAUCUACGUUCCUAUGAACUGUGCAGCCAUGUAUCAGAAAUUACAGUCACAAAGCUGUUUGAAUUGAAUGACCCUUUUCCACUAUCACCCUACAAAAUUCAGGGCAGAACAUUUGUUACAGCAAAACAUUAUAUAUUUUGCUAA